RNAcentral lists this ribosomal RNA (552 nucleotides) under uncultured archaeon. RNAcentral describes it as "bacterial SSU rRNA". It matches the Rfam family "Archaeal small subunit ribosomal RNA", at positions 326 to 878 of the family's 1478-position model. The record is from RNAcentral.
CGGGGUGCAGCAGGCGCGAAAACUUUACAAUGCGGGAAACCGUGAUAAGGGGACACCGAGUGCCAGCAUCAUAUGCUGGCUGUCCAGGUGUGUAAAAUACACCUGUUAGCAAGGGCCGGGCAAGACCGGUGCCAGCCGCCGCGGUAACACCGGCGGCCCGAGUGGUGAUCGUGAUUAUUGGGUCUAAAGGGUCCGUAGCCGGUUUGGUCAGUCCUCCGGGAAAUCUGACGGCUCAACCGUUAGGCUUUCGGGGGAUACUGCCAGGCUUGGAACCGGGAGAGGUAAGAGGUACUACAGGGGUAGGAGUGAAAUCUUGUAAUCCCUGUGAGACCACCUGUGGCGAAGGCGUCUUACCAGAACGGGUUCGACGGUGAGGGACGAAAGCUGGGGGCACGAACCGGAUUAGAUACCCGGGUAGUCCCAGCCGUAAACGAUGCUCGCUAGGUGUCAGGCAUGGCGCGACCGUGUCUGGUGCCGCAGGGAAGCCGUGAAGCGAGCCACCUGGGAAGUACGGCCGCAAGGCUGAAACUUAAAGGAAUUGGCGGGGGAGCA